This is a non-coding RNA of Callorhinus ursinus (northern fur seal), 4984 nucleotides long. NCBI's taxonomy places the organism in Eukaryota, Metazoa, Chordata, Mammalia, Carnivora, Otariidae. The record is from RefSeq and is a predicted model, not a curated record.
AAGGAGGUAAAUCCUGAAUUCAUAGUAUGUUUGACUCUACCACACUGUUUGCUCUGUGAUAUGGAAACAUUAGAGGUUUUAACAUUCCUCGAAGUUUUAUGGGAAGCAAAUCUGUGUCAGGGACACAGUGUAAGUUUUCUCCUUUUGGCAACCCACCUUGCUUUGAAUGAACUGAAUGUCAGCUGGAUUUCACGGCAUAUCUGAUUUACAGUCUUUGUGUUGUCAAGGCCUUAAAUGUUAUGCUUUAUCCUAGGCAGAUGGGAAAUACCUUGAGCCCUGUGUUUGACAUGUAUGCCUAAGGAAGGGAACUCCCCGAUGGAUCAUGGCGUUAAUGUUUACAGGACAUUUCUUAUUUUUAGCAUUAGUGAUGUUGGCUUUCUCUACUUUUGAGGAAUCUGUGAGCAAUUACUCUGACUGGGCAGUUUUCACCGAUGAUACAGAUCAGUUUAAGACACAGAAAGUGCAAGAUUUCAAACCCAGUCCAAAGCUGAAGAAAAGUAUGCUUCAUCCAAGUUUAUAUUUUGAUGCUGGAGAAAUCCAGGCAAUGAGACAAAAGUCUCGUACAAGCCAUUUGCAUCUGUUUAGAGCUAUCAGAAGUGCAGUCACAGUUAUGCUGUCCAACCCCACAUACUACCUACCUCCACCCAAGCAUGCUGAUUUUGCUGCCAAGUGGAAUGAAAUUUAUGGUAACAAUCUGCCUCCUUUAGCACUGUACUGUUUGUUAUGUCCAGAAGACAACGUUGCCUUUGAGUUUGUCUUGGAAUUUAUGGACAGGAUGGUUGGCUACAAAGACUGGCUGGUUGAGAAUGCACCAGGGGAUGAGGUUCCAAUUGGCCAUUCCUUAACGGGUUUUGCCACUGCCUUUGACUUUUUGUAUAACCUACUAGAUGAUCAUCGAAGACAAAAAUACCUGGAAAAAAUAUGGGCUGUUACUGAGGAAAUGUAUGAGUAUUCCAAGGUCCGUUCGUGGGGCAAACAACUUCUCCAUAAUCACCAAGCUACUAACAUGAUAGCAUUACUCACUGGGGCUUUGGUGACUGGGGUAGAUAAAGGUUCUAAAGCAAACGUGUGGAAACAGGUUGUAGUAGAUGUGAUGGAAAAGACGAUGUUUCUGUUGAAUCACGUUGUUGAUGGUUCUCUAGACGAAGGUGUGGCCUAUGGAAGCUACACAGCUAAAUCAGUCACACAGUAUGUUUUUCUAGCCCAGCGUCAUUUUAAUAUCAACAACUUGGAUAAUAACUGGUUAAAAAUGCACUUUUGGUUCUAUUACGCCACCCUUUUACCAGGCUUCCAAAGAACUGUGGGUAUAGCAGAUUCCAAUUAUAAUUGGUUUUAUGGUCCAGAGAGCCAGUUAGUUUUUUUGGAUAAGUUUAUCUUAAAGAAUGGAGCUGGGAAUUGGUUAGCUCAGCAAAUUAGAAGGCACCGACCUAAAGAUGGACCAAUGGUCCCCUCCACUGCCCAGAGGUGGAGUACUCUUCACACUGAGUUCAUCUGGUAUGAUCCCCAGCUCACCCCACAGCCUCCUGCUGAAUAUGGUACUGCAAAAAUGCACACAUUCCCAAACUGGGGUGUUGUCACCUAUGGGGCUGGGUUGCCAAAUACACAGACCAAUACCUUUGUGUCUUUUAAGUCUGGGAAGCUAGGGGGGCGAGCGGUGUAUGACAUAGUUCACUUUCAGCCAUACUCCUGGAUUGACGGGUGGAGAAGCUUUAACCCAGGACAUGAACAUCCAGAUCAGAACUCAUUUACUUUUGCCCCCAAUGGGCAAGUGUUUGUUUCUGAAGCUCUCUAUGGACCCAAGCUGAGCCACCUUAACAACGUACUGGUGUUUGCUCCAUCACCCACAAGCCAGUGUAAUAAGCCCUGGGAAGGUCAACUGGGAGAAUGUGCACAGUGGCUCAAGUGGACCGGCGAGGAGGCUGGUGAUGCGGCAGGGGAAAUUGUCACUGCCUCUCAGCAUGGAGAAAUGAUAUUUGUGAGUGGGGAAGCAGUGUCUGCUUACUCUUCAGCAAUGAAGCUGAAAAGUGUGUAUCGUGCUUUGCUUCUCUUAAAUUCCCAGACUUUGCUAGUUGUGGAUCACGUUGAGAAGCAAGACAAUUCCCCAAUAAAAUCUGUCAGUGCCUUCUUUCAUAAUCUGGACAUCGAUUUUAAGUAUAUCCCUUAUAGGUUUAUGAACAGGUACAAUGGCGCCAUGAUGGAUGUGUGGGAUGCACACUACAGAAUGUUCUGGUUUGAUCAUCGUGGCAAUAGUCCCAUUGCUAGCAUACAGGAAGCAGAGCAAGCUGCUGAAUUUAAGAAACGGUGGACUCAAUUUGUUAAUGUUACAUUUCAGAUGGAAUCCACAAUCACAAGAAUUGCAUAUGUCUUUUAUGGGCCAUAUGUCAAUGUUUCCAGCUGCAGAUUUAUUGAUAAUUCCAAUUCUGGACUUCAGAUUUCUCUCAAUGUCAAUAAUACUGAACAUGUCGUGUCCAUUGUAACUGACUACCAUAACCUGAAGACAAGAUUCGAUUACCUGGGUUUUGGUGGCUUUGCCAAUGUGGCUGAUCAGGGCCAAAUAACCCGAUUUGGUUUGGGCACUCAAGCAAUAGCCAAGCCCGUAAGACAAGGUAGGGUUAUUUUCCCCUUUGGAUUUAAAUUUAAUAUAGCAGCUGGGUUGAUUUUGUGCAUUAGCUUGGUGAUUUUAACCUUUCAGUGGCGGUUUUACCUUUCUUUUAGAAAGCUAAUGCGGUGGGUCCUGAUGCUUGUUAUUGUCUUGUGGUUUAUUGAGCUGCUGGAUGUGUGGAGCACUUGCACUCAGCCCCUCUGUGCAAAAUGGGCAAGGAAAGAGGCCGAGGCAAGCCCGAAGUCCUUGUCUUCCGAGGGGCACCACCUCGAUCUUCCCUACGUCGUCAUUACCUCACUUCCUGGUUCAGGAGCUGAGAUUCUCAAACAGCUUUUUUUCAACAGUAGUGAUUUUCUCUACAUCAGAGUUCCUACAACCUACAUCGAUAUUCCUGAAACUGAAUUUGAAAUUGACUCAUUUGCAGAUGCCUGUGAAUGGAAGGCAUCAGAUAUCCACAGCGUGCAUUUCCGUUUACUCCGAGGCUGGUUGCAGUCCUUGGUUCAAGACACGAAACUACAUUUGCAAAACAUCCAUCUGCAUGAACCCAGUAGGGGUAAACUGGCCCCAUAUUUUACAGCAAAUAAGGACAAAAAAAGAAAAUUGAAAAGGAGAGAGUCUUUGCCAGAACAAAGAAGUAGAAUGAAAGGCACCUUUGAUAGAGAUGCUGAAUAUAUUAGGGCUUUGAGGAGACACCUGGUCUAUUACCCAAGCGCGCGUCCUGUGCUCAGCUUAAGCAGCGGGAGCUGGACCUUAAAGCUUCAUUUUUUUCAAGAAGUUUUAGGAGCUUCUAUGAGGGCAUUGUACAUAGUAAGGGACCCUCGGGCAUGGAUUUAUUCAAUGCUGUACAGUAGUAAACCAAGUCUCUACUCUUUGAAAAAUGUACCAGAACACUUAGCUAAAUUGUUUAAAAUAGAGGGAGGUAAAGGCAAAUGUAUCUUAAAUUCAGGCUAUGCUUUCGAGUAUGAAUCGUUGAGGAAAGAAUUAUCAAAAUCCCAGUCAAAUGCAGUCUCCCUGUUGUCUCAUUUGUGGCUAGCAAACACAGCAGCGGCCCUGAGAAUAAAUACAGAUUUGCUGCCUACCAGCUACCAGCUGAUCAAGUUUGAAGAUAUUGUACAUUUUCCUCAGAAAACCACUGAAAGGAUUUUUGCCUUUCUCGGAAUACCUUUGUCUCCUGCUAGUUUAAACCAAAUAUUGUUCGCCACCUCCACAAACCUUUUCUAUCUUCCCUAUGAAGGGGAAAUAUCACCAAGUAAUACUAAUGUUUGGAAACAGAACUUGCCUAGAGAAGAAAUUAAACUGAUUGAGAGCAUCUGCUGGACACUGAUGGAGCGUCUAGGAUAUCCAAAGUUUAUGGACUAAAUGCUGCAGGUCAGCAGAGAUUUGCACUAAUCCUUUGCAGCCCGGUUUGUGGAUGUGACGAGUUUGUUUAUUCUUGUACUAUGUGUGCGUGCGUGCGCGUGUUCAGUUUGUUACUUGCACAGAGAUUAUUUUAAAAAUAGGCCACAUAUUUGGCCUAGCAGGAUUUAUUUUUACGUCGCUACUUCCCUUGCCUUUGUUUCUGAAUUUGUUUUCUGCUGAAAUGUUCCUGCUACAGAGGCGUAGAUGAAGUUAUAGGAUGGCGGUCAGUGGAGGAUGUGUGAUCUCAAAUCGGAUCAAAUCAAAAGGCUUUGGGUUGGCAGUAAUAGCAGGUCUGAUCAAGGUAAGACUUACACAUGUGUACAGAAGCUGAACCGCUCCCUGUUAGUAUUGCAGAAACACCCCCAAGGGGAAGGAGAGAACCAGGUGGGCUAUGUGGAGGAAUCGGAGGAGAGGGGGGGGAAAAUGAAAAAAAAGCAGUUGUGUGGAUGAGCAUGGGGACAUGUUACUGAUAGCUGAAGAAAGGGGCACAUUUCCCAAAGUGAUCUUCACAGUGUGUCCUAACUUUCGCCCCCACACAGCAAUGCCAAGAUGAAUUUGCCUGGCACUGUACUCACCUCCCCCCACCCAAGGGAAGGUCUGCUGGAAGAGACCUCUAUCUGCAGAGUCCCCUUUGAGGGACAUUAUGGGUGAGGGACGACCCAGGCGCUGGAUCUGCACGCAGAUGUUCGUGCUUGGGACCCCUUGCCUUAUAAUACCUGAGGUGACUAACUCCCAGAACGUCCAGGUCCUGCAUCCUUAGGGUGUCAGCUUCAGAAAAAUUCCGAUAGCCUCCACACUUAAUUUUAUUCGUAUCGUCUUGAAAAUCAUUAAAGGGAUGAUUGUCACUAUGUGACUCUUCUAAAGGAGACACCUGUCCUCUCUGUAAAAUUAACCCCUUUCUUUAUUAACUUCCCCGAACUUAGGCCUAACUGGGAUAAAAACUGUUACUAAAAUAAUAGAAUUUAGGUCUUGAAAUUAAAAAAA